This 1635-nucleotide long non-coding RNA is filed under the name Mytilus galloprovincialis (Mediterranean mussel). The record is from RNAcentral. Lineage: Eukaryota; Metazoa; Mollusca; Bivalvia; Mytilida; Mytilidae.
GCAGAGAAAGAAAAAAAAACUUUUCAAUUAUCCUGCUCCUGAAGGAUAAAUGUAAAACAUCUUGUUUUCGGUAAGUUUUAUGCUCCUGUUUAUUAAAUAGUGUUAGUGCAUUCAUCUGUCCAGUCUUUCCUCUAAAUUGUAUCCUCUUUAAGUUUUUGGUGAGUGUUCACAAUGAAUUUCAGUAAGUAACUUGUGGAUUUACAUGUUUAUACUCAAAAUGUAGUACUAAUAUUAAUGGGAUUUUAGCAUGACAUCCUGGAAAAUGCUUGUUAAUCAUGUUUAUGUUCCAGAACAUAUGAGUAUUUGGACUGUACGCGUACAGUCUGCCCAAUUUUUAGAAGUUGGUCAAGUUUAUUAGAAACAAAUGUACAGUACAGAUCAACAUAACUGAAAUCGUUAAUAGAUUAAUACAAAAAGUUUGCAGUUGAAAUAAAAACACAUGUUUGGUUGAGCUGGUACUAGACACUUUUUUUUACAUAAAUAAGGCCGUUAGUUUUCUCGUUUGAAUUGUUUUACAUUGUCUUAUCGGGGCCUAUUAUAGCUGACUAUGCGGUAUGGGCUUUGCUCAUUGUUGAAGGCCGUACAGUGACCUAUAGUUGUUAAUGUCUGUGUCAUUUUGGUCUUUUGUGGAUAGUUGUCUCAUUGGCAAUCAUACCACAUCUUCUUUUUUAUACUACAAGUAUUCUCAAAUGGUCUGACUGUAUGCAUAUGGUGGGACUGUAAGUGUAUACUUUUAUGUUCCGGACCGUAAACGUACGGUCCAAAAACUGAUAUGAUCUGGAAUAUUUAUACAUGUCUUAAAAUUAAUAUCAAACACAUUGGUUUUUUUUAACUUGGUAAUAAGUUAUUCGAUAGAACUAUAAUGUUUUGAGAUUAUCAAAAUCAAAAAUAUCCCAUUUUUACAUUUGAUAAAGAAGAAGAUUAUUGAUGUAUGUAUAAAUGUAUAUUAAAAUGAGACGGCAAGCCAACAACACAAAAAAUAAGGAUAAAACAAUAUAAUUUUUUGUAUCAAUGUUAUAAUUUACAAUAUAUCCAAAGGUAUUUUUUCAUUGAAAUAAAACACAAGCUGAAAUCUGUCAGAACUUUAAAAGCGUAAAGAAAUAUUCUUUCUGUUGUCUACAUUUUGUAUAAUAUAUUGCAAAUUCUUGUGAAUAAUGGAAUGUUAUUAUAGUUGACUAAAGUUUUAACAUUGAUCUUUAUAUAUAUAACUUGGGAAAAUACCAAAAUGUUAUAAAGAAGAAUAAAUUAAUUGAUUGUUAUAUAAUAUAAGAAUAGGAAGAUGUGGUAUAUUGCUAAUUUGACAACUCUCCAUCAGAGACCAAAGGAUGUAGGAGGUUAGCAACUGAUGACACUGGACAACCUUUAACAUUCAGUUAAAUCCAUUGCGCAUAGCUAUUUUUACUGACAAUCAUAUUAUUGCUACAUGUAUGCAAACAAUUUUGUAUAAUACAUAACUUCUCUUUUUCAGAAGGAUUGAAAUUCAUCACCUAGAAUAAAUGGAGAAAACAUAGAUACAAGACCAGAAUAAAUUCAAAGACAAAAGUUGGAUCAGUUAUUAUUUUCAUCACUCAGUCAAUGAUUUGAAGUUCUUUUAAAUACCAAAAGAUAUUGAAACCACAAUAAUGUCAAAGUUCU